RNAcentral lists this unclassified non-coding RNA (487 nucleotides) under Hevea brasiliensis (rubber tree). Lineage: Eukaryota; Viridiplantae; Streptophyta; Magnoliopsida; Malpighiales; Euphorbiaceae. The record is from RNAcentral.
CUUUCAAGAGCUUCAAUGUCUAUUAAACAUAACGUAAUGAUUAAGGCAACCAUUUGUAUGAAACCAAAAAAAACAAAGGUGUAGAAUUUAAUAUCUUUAAAAUUCAGUUUUACAUCAUCAAAGAAAGUAUAAUGGCUCCCCACUAUCUGAUCCCCACCCAUAACGCAUUCACAUCGGAACGCAUCAUCCAUUGAAGCUCUUGAAAGAUUUACCCUCCUCUCAACAUUUCUUAUAACAGUAAACAGAUCCAGAAAAUGGAAAUAUUGAAGAAAUAAAGAUACUAUUAAAAGAUACAACUCAUGGUUUCAUUGCAAAAUGAAACAGGUAGCUAAAGCUUCCCUUUGGAAAAGGAAAUAACAGUAAAUAAUUGAUCCUAGGAACAGAGAUAUUGGAGAAGAGAGACCUAACCUGGACUGGUUUUCAUUAGCAUAGCCCAGAGAGGCUUCAUCCUUCCAAUCUUUGCUUUAAACAAUAAAUGGUAAAAAAU